This 494-nucleotide ribosomal RNA is filed under the name uncultured Acaulospora. Its description in RNAcentral is "SSU rRNA". It matches the Rfam family "Eukaryotic small subunit ribosomal RNA", at positions 569 to 1066 of the family's 1831-position model. The record is from RNAcentral. Lineage: Eukaryota; Fungi; Glomeromycota; Glomeromycetes; Diversisporales; Acaulosporaceae.
AGCAGCCGCGGUAAUUCCAGCUCCAAUAGCGUAUAUUAAAGUUGUUGCAGUUAAAAAGCUCGUAGUUGAAUUUCGGGGUUCAUCCGUUGGUCGGGCUUUUUGGUCUGUACUGGCGUGAUGGAUUCCUACCUUCUGAAUAACCGGCAUGUCAUUAAUUUGGUGCGCCGGGGAAGCAGGACUGUUACCUUGAAAAAUUAGAGUGCUUAAAGCAGGCUAUUGCCUGAAUACAUUAGCAUGGAAUAAUGAAAUAGGGCGGCAUGGUUCUAUUUUGUUGGUUUCUAGGAUCACCGUAAUGAUUAAUAGGGAUAGUUGGGGGCAUUAGUAUUCAAUUGUCAGAGGUGAAAUUCUUGGAUUUAUUGAAGACUAACUUCUGCGGAAGCAUUUGCCAAGGAUGUUUUCAUUAAUCAAGAACGAAAGUUAGGGGAUCGAAGACGAUCAGAUACCGUCGUAGUCUAACCAUAAACUAAUGCCGACUAGGGAUCGGAUGAUGUUAA